CAGAGGUUACUGCUAKCKRGAUUCGACUAAGCCAUGCGAGUUGAAUGUUCUUCGUGAACAUGGCGGACUGCUCAGUAACACGUGGACAACCUACCCUUGGGUCCGGCAUAAUCCUGGGAAACUGGGAAUAAUUCCGGAUAGGUCACCGAUGCUGGAAUGCGCGGUGGCCGAAAGCUCCGGCGCCCGAGGAUGGGUCUGCGGCCUAUCAGGGUUGUAGUGGGUGUAACGUACCUACUAGCCUACGACGGGUACGGGUUGUGAGAGCAAGAGCCCGGAGAUGGAUUCUGAGACACGAAUCCAGGCCCUACGGGGUGCAGCAGGCGCGAAAACUUUACAAUGCGGGAAACCGUGAUAAGGGGAUCUCGAGUGCCAGCAUAUAAUGUUGGCUGUCCAGAUGCCUAAAAAGCAUCUGUUAGCAAGGGCCGGGCAAGACCGGUGCCAGCCGCCGCGGUAACACCGGCGGCCCGAGUGGUAACCGCUAUUAUUGGGUCUAAAGGGUCUGUAGCCGGCCAGGUAAGUCCCUUGGGAAAUCUGGCAGCUCAACUGUCAGGCUGCUAGGGGAUACUGUUUGGCUUGGGACCGGGAGAGGUGAGAGGUACCUUGGGGGUAGGGGUGAAAUCUUGUGAUCCUCGAGGGACCACCAGUGGCGAAGGCGUCUCACCAGAACGGGUCCGACGGUAAGGGACGAAAGCUAGGGGCACGAACCGGAUUAGAUACCCGGGUAGUCCUAGCCGUAAACGAUGCUCGCUAGGUGUCAGUCACGGUGCGACCGUGAUUGGUGCCGUAGGGAAGCCGUGAAGCGAGCCACCUGGGAAGUAUGGCCGCAAGGCUGAAACUUAAAGGAAUUGGCGGGGGAGCACUACAWCRGRUGGAGCCUGCGGUUUAAUUG
Molecule: ribosomal RNA, 889 nt
Filed under: uncultured Methanosaeta sp.
Lineage: Archaea; Methanobacteriati; Methanobacteriota; Methanomicrobia; Methanotrichales; Methanotrichaceae
Description: bacterial SSU rRNA
Rfam family: Archaeal small subunit ribosomal RNA
Source: RNAcentral